UUGGAGGGCAAGUCUGGUGCCAGCAGCCGCGGUAAUUCCAGCUCCAAUAGCGUAUAUUAAAGUUGUUGCAGUUAAAAAGCUCGUAGUUGAAUUUCGGGGUUAGUAGGUUGGUCAUGCCUCUGGUAUGUACUGGUCUCACUGAUUCCUCCUUCCUGAUGAACCGUAAUGCCAUUAAUUUGGUGUUGCGGGGAAUUUGGACUGUUACUUUGAAAAAAUUGAGUGUUUAAAGCAAGCUAACGCUUGAAUACAUUAGCAUGGAAUAAUGAAAUAGG
RNAcentral lists this ribosomal RNA (272 nucleotides) under uncultured Glomus. RNAcentral's name for it is "partial 18S ribosomal RNA". It matches the Rfam family "Eukaryotic small subunit ribosomal RNA", at positions 548 to 826 of the family's 1831-position model. Lineage: Eukaryota; Fungi; Glomeromycota; Glomeromycetes; Glomerales; Glomeraceae. The record is from RNAcentral.